RNAcentral lists this unclassified non-coding RNA (422 nucleotides) under soil metagenome. RNAcentral describes it as "partial contains 5.8S ribosomal RNA, internal transcribed spacer 2, and large subunit ribosomal RNA". The stretch from base 1 to 120 matches the Rfam family "5.8S ribosomal RNA", at positions 35 to 154 of the family's 154-position model. The record is from RNAcentral.
GAUGAAGAACGUAGCGAAAUGCGAUAAGUAAUGUGAAUUGCAGAUUUCAGUGAAUCAUCGAAUCUUUGAACGCACCUUGCGCCUUGUGGUAUUCCACAAGGCAUGCCCGUUUGAGUAUCAUUAAAUCAUCAACUCUAAAACCUUUGUGGUUUUUUUAGAGCUUGGUCUUGAGGGUUUUGCAUGCUUUUUUUUUUUCGAGUCUGCUUCCUUUAAAUGCAUUAGCGAGACUUCCCUAUGCUGAACCGUCUCUUUGACGUGAUAAUUAUCUGCGUCGAAUUUUGGUUCUCGUUGGGCUUGCUUCUAAUCGUCUGUUAAAGACAAAACGGAUUUGGGUGCAUAUAUGCGCCUUUUUCCAAAACCUUUUUUGAUCUCAAAUCGGGUAGGACUACCCGCUGAACUUAAGCAUAUCAAUAAGCGGAGGA